GAUGAACGCUGGCGGCGUGCCUAAUACAUGCAAGUCGAGCGAACGGACGAGAAGCUUGCUUCUCUGAUGUUAGCGGCGGAGGGGUGUGUCACACGUGGAUACCCUACCUAUAAGACUGGGAUCACUUCGGGACACCGGCGCUAAUCCCGGAUGAUAUUUUGAACCGCAUGGUUCAUAAGUGAAAGACGGUCUUGCUGUCUCUUAUAGAUGGAUCCGCGCUGCAUUAGCUAGUUGGUAAGGUAACGGCUUACCAAGGCAACGAUGCAUAGCCGACCUGUGAGGGUGGUCGGCGACACUGGAACUGAGACACGGUCCAGACUCCUACGAGAGGCAGCAGUAGCGAAUCUUACGCAAUAGGGGAAAGUCUGACGGAGCAACGGCGCGUGAGUGACGAAGGUCUUGGGAUCGUAAAACCCUGUUAUUAGGGAAGAACAUAUGUGGAAGUAACUGUGCACAGCGUGACGGUAACUAGUCAGAAAGCCACGGCUAACUACGUG
RNAcentral lists this ribosomal RNA (497 nucleotides) under uncultured bacterium. Its description in RNAcentral is "partial 16S ribosomal RNA". It matches the Rfam family "Bacterial small subunit ribosomal RNA", at positions 28 to 507 of the family's 1533-position model. The record is from RNAcentral.